This is a non-coding RNA of Glycine max (soybean), 74 nucleotides long. The record is from Rfam. Lineage: Eukaryota; Viridiplantae; Streptophyta; Magnoliopsida; Fabales; Fabaceae.
GACCUAUUAACUUAAUUGAUUAGAGCGUCGUGUUAAUAACACGCAAAUCACAUGUUCGAGUCUUGCAUGAGUCA